This 254-nucleotide ribosomal RNA is filed under the name uncultured bacterium. RNAcentral's name for it is "partial 16S ribosomal RNA". It matches the Rfam family "Bacterial small subunit ribosomal RNA", at positions 524 to 776 of the family's 1533-position model. The record is from RNAcentral.
GACAGAGGGUGCAAACGUUGUUCGGAAUUACUGGGCGUAAAGCGAGUGUAGGCGGUUUCCUAAGUCAGGUGUGAAAGCCCCGGGCUCAACCCGGGAAGUGCACUUGAAACUGGGAGGCUAGAGUAUCGGAGAGGUUGGUGGAAUUCUCGGUGUAGAGGUGAAAUUCGUAGAUAUCGAGAGGAACACCGGUGGCGAAGGCGGCCAACUGGACGAAUACUGACGCUGAGACUCGAAAGCGUGGGGGAGCAAACAGG